Molecule: ribosomal RNA, 138 nt
Filed under: uncultured bacterium
Lineage: Bacteria
Description: partial 16S ribosomal RNA
Rfam family: Bacterial small subunit ribosomal RNA
Source: RNAcentral
UGGGGGAAUAUUGCACAAUGGGGGAAACCCUGAUGCAGCGACGCCGCGUGAGUGAAGAAGUAAUUCGUUAUGUAAAGCUCUAUCAGCAGGGAAGAAAAUGACGGUACCUGAGUAAGAAGCCCCGGCUAACUACGUGCC